This 62-nucleotide transfer RNA is filed under the name Megaustenia imperator imperator. RNAcentral describes it as "tRNA-Phe". Lineage: Eukaryota; Metazoa; Mollusca; Gastropoda; Stylommatophora; Ariophantidae. The record is from RNAcentral.
AAGUAAAUAGCUUAAAUUAAAGCAGAGCUUUGAAGGGGCUUUUAUAGAUAUUCUUUUACUUA